GUGCAAUGGAGAAUAUGGAAGCUUACAGCGAAAAUGGAGGCCCUUAGCACGAAGAUCUUGAAGUUCCUGAUUGGAAUAUUGGCGAUAGUUUCUGCCCUUGAGACUCUCUGGUGGUGUUAGUGUAAGAGAUGAUGGUGAAGAAGAAGUGGAAGGUCGGAGACUAGACCCAGGGGGCUUAUCCACAGGUGUGGGCUUAUGGACUGAAGAAACAGAUUGGGUAGGAGUAAAAUGGGCCUGAUAUUUUGCACCUGAGCUCAAGAAUGACUUAGAGCCAGAUCCAAAAGAAUUACCCAUCUUCCCCAAAGGAGAGGAAG
This 314-nucleotide unclassified non-coding RNA is filed under the name Hevea brasiliensis (rubber tree). Lineage: Eukaryota; Viridiplantae; Streptophyta; Magnoliopsida; Malpighiales; Euphorbiaceae. The record is from RNAcentral.